UCUUAUAUUUGUGUUAGGGUUAAAAAAGCCAUAUAGAGAGAAAUAUAGGAAUAGCGUAAUAUAGAAUGAAAAAGUUGGUUGAGGUGUACCGGAACUGACAAUGCUGGUAGGCCUGUAAAAUAAAGAAGGCCCACCCAUGGGUUAAAGGGGGAUGAAGCUGACCAGCUUCCUGACUAGACGCGUGUUCGCUGGGCUCCCACAGCCAAACUCGACUAAUCGCUAAAUAAUCGCAAAUUCAGCCUUUUUUCUCAACGAGGUUACCUUACUUGAGCUCAGCGAAGCCUAACGAACCUCCUGAUAUCUCUUGAGAGAGAAACGGUGCAAAGAAGCCCGAGAUGACUGAUUGUGGCCUGCGGGCGCUGGAACUGGGGAGAGACGGACGCUCUUCCCGUCCUCUCGCUAGCGGCUCAGAAGACACAAUACUCCCUCCCCCCGGACCAGUGGGGGUAAUCCCGGUUCAAUCCUAGGAGAAAGCCCGACUAUGCAGGGGGCAAGCGACAACCCCACACAGACAACCUGCAGUGUCAGAGCGGAACACAAUGGCGGACGCCACGUGUACACCAAGCGAUGGUGAGGGAGAACCCGAUAUCUUGGCACGGCUAGAACGCACAUUUGCGGCCUUCUGGAGGAAAGUAGCACGCAGUAUGAAACAAGUUCAGCCUCCCGCGGCAUGACGUGAGCUUGCCUGAAGUGCCAUCACCUAGCUCCCGACACCGGCAAACAACCCCCAAGCCGAA
Molecule: long non-coding RNA, 737 nt
Filed under: Pelobates cultripes (western spadefoot toad)
Lineage: Eukaryota; Metazoa; Chordata; Amphibia; Anura; Pelobatidae
Source: RNAcentral